GGGCUGCGGGGGCUCGGCGGGGCUUUGCGGGGGGCGCGGAGCAUGUCGGCGCUGCGGCGCAAGCUGGGGGACGACUACCAGGUGGUGAGCACCUCGGCCAGCGGAGCGGGGCUGCCGCCCCCCAGGGCCGCCCCCCGCGGGAAGCGCCAGCGCUUCGUGGACAAGAACGGCCGCUGCAACGUCCAGCACGGCAACCUGGGCGGCGAGACCAGCCGCUACCUGUCCGACCUCUUCACCACCCUCGUGGACCUCAAGUGGCGCUGGAACCUCUUCAUCUUCAUCCUCACCUACACGGUGGCCUGGCUCUUCAUGGCCUCCAUGUGGUGGGUCAUCGCCUACAUGCGGGGCGACCUCAACAAGGCGCACGACGACAGCUACACCCCCUGCGUGGCCAACGUGUACAACUUCCCCUCCGCCUUCCUCUUCUUCAUCGAGACCGAGGCCACCAUCGGCUACGGCUACCGUUACAUCACCGACAAGUGCCCCGAGGGCAUCAUCCUCUUCCUCUUCCAGUCCAUCCUGGGCUCCAUCGUGGACGCCUUCCUCAUCGGCUGCAUGUUCAUCAAGAUGUCCCAGCCCAAGAAGAGGGCCGAGACGCUGAUGUUCAGCGAGCACGCCGCCAUCUCCAUGCGGGACGGGAAGCUCACCCUCAUGUUCCGCGUGGGAAACCUCCGCAACAGCCACAUGGUCUCGGCACAGAUCCGCUGCAAGCUGCUCAAGUCCCGGCAGACCCCGGAGGGCGAGUUCCUGCCUCUGGAUCAGCUGGAGCUGGACGUGGGCUUCAGCACCGGGGCUGACCAGCUGUUCCUGGUGUCCCCCCUCACCAUCUGCCACGUGAUAGACUCCAAGAGCCCCUUCUACGACCUGUCCCAGCGCAGCAUGCAGACAGAGCAGUUCGAGAUCGUCGUCAUCCUCGAGGGCAUCGUGGAGACCACGGGGAUGACGUGCCAGGCCAGGACGUCCUACACGGAGGACGAGGUGCUGUGGGGCCAUCGCUUCUUCCCCGUGAUCUCCCUGGAGGAGGGCUUCUUCAAGGUGGAUUACUCGCAGUUCCACGCCACCUUCGAGGUGCCCACCCCGCCCUACAGCGUGAAGGAGCAGGAGGAGAUGCUGCUCAUGUCCUCGCCCCUCAUCGCGCCCGCCGUCGGCAACAGCAAGGAGAGGAACAGCUCGGUGGAGUGCCUGGACGGGCUGGACGAGGUGGGCACCAAGCUGCCCUCCAAACUGCAGAAAAUCACCGGCAGGGAGGACUUCCCCAAAAAACUCCUCAGGAUGAGCUCCACCACGUCGGAGAAGGCCUACAGCAUGGGGGACCUGCCCAUGAAACUGCAGCGCAUCAGCUCGGUGCCCGGCAACUCCGAGGAGAAACUGGGCUCUAAGACCACCAAGAUGAUGUCGGAUCCCAUGAGCCAGUCGGUGGCCGAGCUCCCGCCCAAGCUGCAGAAGCUCUCGGGGGGCGGGAGGAUGGAGGGGAACCUGCCCCCCAAACUGCGCAAAAUGAACUCCGACCGCUUCACAUAACCCAGGGGGCCGGGGGCGACCGCGGGGGAGCUGCGACUGCUCCGGGAAGGGAGCGGGGCCGGGAGGGGCCCCGGCACCGGGGGGUGCUGAACUCUGAGCUCUGGAGGCAGGAGGUGCCCCGGGAGGCCGGCGGGCCGGGGGCCGUUGGCAUGUACCAUCACACCACGCAUGCAAUACCAGUGUGCAACCCCUGCAUAUAGUCCUGUGGCAUGACUCCCACUGUAGUGACACUGUACAGCCCCAAAAGCGGGGAGGGGCCGCCCUCCCCCCCGUACCCCUGAAGGAGUAGGGCCAACACACGAGCGGGGAGCUUUCAGGCUGGACGUGAAACAAGCUGAAUGUCUCCACGAAGCCACGCAGGCUCUUCUGCUGGAUGAACUGCACCCCAAAGGCAGAGCCACCAUUCUCCCUGUCCCACCGGGCCUGGAUUUCCCUCCUCUGGCUGUGGUGGCCAGCUGGGCCAGCAGCCUGCAGGCCAUGGUGGUCCCGAGCCCGGGGAGGCUCCUUGCUGCUUUUGCUAAGGUGAAAAUGAUGUUUAACCAUGUUCUGGACUGAAGUUGACCCUGUGGGUUUCAAAAUGAGUAAUACUUUGUUUGUAAAUGUUGGGGUUGAUGUCCUCUGUGUUCGGGUUUCCUUCACCCCUCCCGUUUGGCUCCGGCAGCAGAGUCAACGCGGGAUGGGCUGAGUGUUGUGUGGUUGCCCCAUCAUCGUGGCUACUGCUAGGGGAGCACCCUCCCCGGAAUUCCAAAGGUCAGCUGUUGAGGUGCCCGUGGAUCCUGUGGGCUGUGUUUGGGGCCUUCCUGUUGUCUCCUUCUCAGAGCAGGAGGUCUGGGAUGGAUGGAGCGAUGGGCAGCACCAUCAGUGCCCUGGGUAGGAAAGCUGCUGCCAAGAGCACCAGGAGAAGGGCUCUGUGGGAUGUCCUCUGUGGGAUGUCCUCUGUGUGUGUGAAACCCUCGGGACCACAUCCAGGUGGUCCCAGGCAUGGCCAGGUGAGGGUCAGAGGAGCACCCACAGCUUCACUAAUGGCUGGGCCCUUCUGGCUCACGGGCCCCGGCCCAUCCUGCACAAAUGCUGGCACGUGCUGCCUGAGUGGUGACAGAUCUGAUGGUCUUGGAGGGGAAAAUGGGGUUUGUUAUAAAUGUUGGCAUGGAGCAAGAACCCUGAAGCCCAGCACUGCUGGGGGCUGGCUCAGCCACCACUUUCCCUGGAAGUUGCAGUGUAUGACCUGGCAGUUGUAUGAAUAACUUUGUAUGAACUUUGUAUGAACUUCCAAAGUUCCUUUCACGGUUUCUCACCCUUUUUGAGUGGCACUGCAUGUUCUUCACAGCUGUGGCUGCCCCUCAGCGCUCUGCACGUUGCUGUGGAAGGGCAGGGCUGAGCCAUGCUCCACAUGUGCUGAGCCAGGGGAAAACCUGGGCUUGUGCUCCCCCUUUUCCCAAACCUUCUUCAGGUUGUCUUGUAAAAUACCCCUGACUUUUGUGGCUGUUCUCCCAGUCCUUGGCUGGCACCAGGAAUAGCCAUGUCCAGUUGCCAGGUGUCCACAGCAGAUCCACCACCCAGCCCAGCGAGCCCAGAGCAGUGCCCAGCCUGGGAACCAGCCAGGGAGCACCCCCAGCAGCCUGGGCACAGGGCUCUGCCUGGGAAAGGAGGGUCUCCAGCAGCUUGACCCCUCCUCAAAGCUCCUUUGGUUUAUUUGGGGUGGGUGGGGAGCAGUGGCUCCUUCCUGGGGGCUGUCAGAGCAUGAGCCCACCAACCACUGGACUGUGUGACACUGGGCUGGGUGGGCAUUGCAGGGCCCUGCCAAACAAAAUAUUCUGUUCUGUUCUUUUUCUUAAUCUAUUCUAUCCUUAUUCUUAACCUAUUCUUGUUCUUAUUCUGUUUUCUAUUCUUAUCCUUGAUCUAUUUUUAUUCUUAUUCUAUUCUUAAU
Molecule: RNA transcript, 3448 nt
Organism: Lepidothrix coronata (blue-crowned manakin)
Lineage: Eukaryota; Metazoa; Chordata; Aves; Passeriformes; Pipridae
Gene: KCNJ3
Gene name: potassium voltage-gated channel subfamily J member 3
Exons: 4
Source: RefSeq, a predicted model, not a curated record